CCAAAUUUUUAUAAAAUUCAAAUCCCAUUUAAUUAAGAAGUCAAGUGGGCAAGUGGGUAGAAAAGCACUCAAGUGUUUUGUGAUAUUUUGAAGAGUAUUGUGAGCUAUUCUAACCCCCAAACCGAUCCCCACACUCUCUCAUUCACUCUCAUCUGAUUUUUGAAGACUCUCUCAUAUGUUCUCUCAAUAUUCAACCUCAAGAACACCAAGGAAAACUUGGAGGCUAAGUCUUGGUCUAGGAAGUAUUUUCCCUAAGUUGGUUAGGGUUUUUGAAAGGUUUUGGAGGAGCCAAAGCCAAUAGGAAGGUCCAAACCUUAAGCAAGAACACCAAAGAGGUAAGAGCAAGGGCAAGGCAGAGCAGUGAGCGCUGGAGUCUUCCUUGCAAAUGUACAUGUGGACCGACCUUUUGGGAAGUCGUUUUACUUUUGGAAAUGUUGUGUAAUUUUCCUAAACUAGGCUCUCACUCUACUCUUUAUAAAACAUGUUUGUAACUAAAUGUUAAGUAUGGCCAUACGACUUUUUAAAAAGUUUUUUUUUUCUAUGGGUUUUUGAGACAUUUUGUUAAAUGAAAACAUUUAUA
Molecule: long non-coding RNA, 580 nt
Organism: Humulus lupulus (European hop)
Lineage: Eukaryota; Viridiplantae; Streptophyta; Magnoliopsida; Rosales; Cannabaceae
Exons: 3
Source: RefSeq, a predicted model, not a curated record